Molecule: ribosomal RNA, 303 nt
Filed under: uncultured fungus
Lineage: Eukaryota; Fungi
Description: eukaryotic LSU rRNA
Rfam family: 5.8S ribosomal RNA (bases 1-52)
Source: RNAcentral
AACGCACCUUGCGCUCCUUGGUAUUCCGAGGAGCAUGCCUGUUUGAGUGUCAUGAAAACCAUCAACCCUGACUUUGCUCUUGCGAGUGUGGUCUGCGGCUUGGACUUGGGGGUGUUCUGCUGGUGCCGUGAGGCGUCGGCUCCUCCUGAAUGUAUUAGUGGUGGCCUUUGAGGUUCCUCUCGCGGCGUGAUAAUUAUUUCGUCUCGAUGGCCUCUUGAGUGGGACUCUGCUUCUUAACCGUCCGCACGGACAACCUCUUUCAAAUCUGACCUCAAAUCAGGUAGGACUACCCGCUGAACUUAA